UUUUGUAGCAAUACAAGACCUAGAGUGGCGUAAGGGUGCGUAACACGUACAGAACCUUCCUUCGAGCGGGGAAUAGCCCAGAGAAAUUUGGAUUAAUACCCCAUAGCAUAUUGAUGAGGCAUCUCAUUAAUAUUAAAGAUUUAUCACUUGAAGAUGGCUGUGCGGCUGAUUAGGUAGUUGGCGGAGUAAUAGCCCACCAAGCCUGCGAUCAGUAACUGGUGUGAGAGCACGACCAGUCACACGGGCACUGAGACA
This 255-nucleotide ribosomal RNA is filed under the name uncultured Terrimonas sp. Its description in RNAcentral is "partial 16S ribosomal RNA". It matches the Rfam family "Bacterial small subunit ribosomal RNA", at positions 72 to 326 of the family's 1533-position model. The record is from RNAcentral. Lineage: Bacteria; Pseudomonadati; Bacteroidota; Chitinophagia; Chitinophagales; Chitinophagaceae.